AACGAACGCUGGCGGCAUGCCUAACACAUGCAAGUCGAACGAGACCUUCGGGUCUAGUGGCGCACGGGUGCGUAACGCGUGGGAACCUGCCCUUAGGUUCGGAAUAACUCCCCGAAAGGGGUGCUAAUACCGGAUAAUGUCUUCGGACCAAAGAUUUAUCGCCUUUGGAUGGGCCCGCGUUGGAUUAGCUAGUUGGUAGGGUAAAAGCCUACCAAGGCGACGAUCCAUAGCUGGUCUGAGAGGAUGAUCAGCCACACUGGGAAUGAGACACGGCCCAGACUCCUACGGGAGGCAGCAGUGGGGAAUAUUGGACAAUGGGCGAAAGCCUGAUCCAGCAAUGCCGCGUGAGUGAUGAAGGCCUUAGGGUUGUAAAGCUCUUUUACACGGGAUGAUAAUGACAGUACCGGGAGAAUAAGCUCCGGCUAACUCCGUG
RNAcentral lists this ribosomal RNA (433 nucleotides) under uncultured bacterium. RNAcentral's name for it is "partial 16S ribosomal RNA". It matches the Rfam family "Bacterial small subunit ribosomal RNA", at positions 29 to 507 of the family's 1533-position model. The record is from RNAcentral.